AUUGAACGCUGGCGGCAGGCCUAACACAUGCAGGUCGAACGGUAACAGGAAGCAGCUUGCUGCUUCGCUGACGAGUGGCGGACGGGUGAGUAAUGUCUGGGAAACUGCCUGAUGGAGGGGGAUAACUACUGGAAACGGUAGCUAAUACCGCAUAACGUCGCAAGCCCAAAGAGGGGGACCUUAGGGCCUCUUGCCAUCGGAUGUGCCCAGAUGGGAUUAGCUAGUAGGUGGGGUAACGGCUCACCUAGGCGACGAUCCCUAGCUGGUCUGAGAGGAUGACCAGCCACACUGGAACUGAGACACGGUCCAGACUCCUACGGGAGGCAGCAGUGGGGAAUAUUGCACAAUGGGCGCAAGCCUGCUGCAGCCAUGCCGCGUGUAUGAAGAAGGCCUUCGGGUUGUAAAGUACUUUCAGCGGGGAGGAAGGGAGUAAAGUUAAUACCUUUGCUCAUUGACGUUACCCGCAGAAGAAGCACCGGCUAACUCCGUG
RNAcentral lists this ribosomal RNA (490 nucleotides) under uncultured bacterium. Its description in RNAcentral is "partial 16S ribosomal RNA". It matches the Rfam family "Bacterial small subunit ribosomal RNA", at positions 30 to 507 of the family's 1533-position model. The record is from RNAcentral.